GGCUGCGUGGACCAACGGGCAGAGUCGGCCGCCUCAAAAGCGGCAGGGUCCCGGUUCGAAUCCGGGCGCGGCCA
RNAcentral lists this transfer RNA (74 nucleotides) under Gemmataceae bacterium. RNAcentral's name for it is "tRNA-Leu". It matches the Rfam family "tRNA". From Rfam's summary of the family: Transfer RNA (tRNA) molecules are approximately 80 nucleotides in length. Their secondary structure includes four short double-helical elements and three loops (D, anti-codon, and T loops). The record is from RNAcentral. Lineage: Bacteria; Pseudomonadati; Planctomycetota; Planctomycetia; Gemmatales; Gemmataceae.